RNAcentral lists this small RNA (28 nucleotides) under Bombyx mori (domestic silkworm). RNAcentral describes it as "ovarian small RNA-14182". The record is from RNAcentral. Lineage: Eukaryota; Metazoa; Arthropoda; Insecta; Lepidoptera; Bombycidae.
CGACCGAGGACGUCACCUUCCGGGCGAC